AUUGAACGCUGGCGGCAGGCCUAACACAUGCAAGUCGAACGGUAACAGGAAGCAGCUUGCUGCUUUGCUGACGAGUGGCGGACGGGUGAGUAAUGUCUGGGAAACUGCCCGAUGGAGGGGGAUAACUACUGGAAACGGUAGCUAAUACCGCAUAACGUCGCAAGACCAAAGAGGGGGACCUUAGGGCCUCUUGCCAUCGGAUGUGCCCAGAUGGGAUUAGCUAGUAGGUGGGGUAACGGCUCACCUAGGCGACGAUCCCUAGCUGGUCUGAGAGGAUGACCAGCCACACUGGAACUGAGACACGGUCCAGACUCCUACGGGAGGCAGCAGUGGGGAAUAUUGCACAAUGGGGGCAAGCCUGAUGCAGCCAUGCCGCGUGUAUGAAGAAGGCCUUCGGGUUGUAAAGUACUUUCAGCGGGGAGGAAGGGAGUAAAGUUAAUACCUUUGCUCAUUGACGUUACCCGCAGAAGAAGCACCGGCUAACUCCGUG
This 490-nucleotide ribosomal RNA is filed under the name uncultured bacterium. Its description in RNAcentral is "partial 16S ribosomal RNA". It matches the Rfam family "Bacterial small subunit ribosomal RNA", at positions 30 to 507 of the family's 1533-position model. The record is from RNAcentral.